UGGGGAAUUUUGGACAAUGGGCGCAAGCCUGAUCCAGCCAUGCCGCGUGCAGGAUGAAGGCCUUCGGGUUGUAAACUGCUUUUGUACGGAACGAAACGGCCUUUUCUAAUAAAGAGGGCUAAUGACGGUACCGUAAGAAUAAGCACCGGCUAACUACGUGCCAGCAGCCGCGGUAAUACGUAGGGUGCAAGCGUUAAUCGGAAUUACUGGGCGUAAAGCGUGCGCAGGCGGUAAUGUAAGACAGUUGUGAAAUCCCCGGGCUCAACCUGGGAACUGCAUCUGUGACUGCAUUGCUGGAGUACGGCAGAGGGGGAUGGAAUUCCGCGUGUAGCAGUGAAAUGCGUAGAUAUGCGGAGGAACACCGAUGGCGAAGGCAAUCCCCUGGGCCUGUACUGACGCUCAUGCACGAAAAGCGUGGGGAGCAAAACAGGAUUAGAUACCCUGGUAGUCCACGCCCCUAAAACGAUGUCAACUGGUUGUCGGGCCUUCAUUGGCUUGGUAACGUAGCUAACGCGUGAAGUUGACCGCCU
This 530-nucleotide ribosomal RNA is filed under the name uncultured bacterium. RNAcentral's name for it is "partial 16S ribosomal RNA". It matches the Rfam family "Bacterial small subunit ribosomal RNA", at positions 355 to 874 of the family's 1533-position model. The record is from RNAcentral.